AGCGAACGCUGGCGGCAGGCUUAACACAUGCAAGUCGAGCGGGCACCUUUCGGGGUGUCAGCGGCGGACGGGUGAGUAACGCGUGGGAACGUGCCCUCAGGUUCGUAAUAACUUAGGGAAACUUGAGCUAAUACCGGCUACGCCCUUUUGGGGAAAGGCUGUCCGACGGAGGAGCGGCCGGCGUCUGAUCAGGUAGUUUGUGAGGUAACGGCGUACCAAUGCGACGUUGAGUAGCUGGUGUGCGAGGAUGAUCAGCCACACUGGGACUGAGACACGGCCGAGAAUCCUACGGGAGGCAGCAGUGGGGGAUAUUGGACAAUGGGCGCAAGGCUGAUCCAGCCAUGCCGCGUGAGUGAUGAAGGCCUGAGGGUUGUAAAGCUCUUUUAUCCGGGACGAUAAUGACGGUACCGGAGGAAUAAGCCCCGGCUAACUUCGUG
This 437-nucleotide ribosomal RNA is filed under the name uncultured bacterium. Its description in RNAcentral is "partial 16S ribosomal RNA". It matches the Rfam family "Bacterial small subunit ribosomal RNA", at positions 28 to 507 of the family's 1533-position model. The record is from RNAcentral.